This 72-nucleotide transfer RNA is filed under the name Apophysomyces ossiformis. It matches the Rfam family "tRNA". From Rfam's summary of the family: Transfer RNA (tRNA) molecules are approximately 80 nucleotides in length. The record is from Rfam by way of RNAcentral. Lineage: Eukaryota; Fungi; Mucoromycota; Mucoromycetes; Mucorales; Mucoraceae.
GGUUGUGUAGUGUAGUGGCUAUCACAUUGGACUUUGAAUCCAAUAACCCGAGUUCGAUCCUCGGCACGACCU